GUGUCUGUAGCCUAGUGGUAAAAGGCAGCACUCUAGAUGCUGAGGUAGUGGGUUCAAAUCCCACCAGACACA
RNAcentral lists this transfer RNA (72 nucleotides) under Cronartium ribicola 11-2. RNAcentral's name for it is "tRNA-Sup (CTA) (tRNA-Sup-CTA-32-1)". It matches the Rfam family "tRNA". Rfam says of the family: Transfer RNA (tRNA) molecules are approximately 80 nucleotides in length. Lineage: Eukaryota; Fungi; Basidiomycota; Pucciniomycetes; Pucciniales; Coleosporiaceae. The record is from RNAcentral.